RNAcentral lists this ribosomal RNA (314 nucleotides) under uncultured bacterium. RNAcentral describes it as "bacterial SSU rRNA". It matches the Rfam family "Bacterial small subunit ribosomal RNA", at positions 30 to 337 of the family's 1533-position model. The record is from RNAcentral.
AUUGAACGCUGGCGGCGUGCUUAACACAUGCAAGUCGUGCGGUAACAGGCGUAGCAAUACGUGCUGACGAGCGGCGAACGGGUGCGUAAUACAUGGGAAUCUGCCUUUUAGUGGGGAAUAACCCGGCGAAAGCCGGGCUAAUGCCGCAUAAGAUCUUCGGAUGAAAGCGGGGAGUCGUAAGACCUCGCGCUGAUAGAUGAGCCACUGCCGGAUUAGUCAGUUGGUGAGGUAACGGCUCACCAAGGACGACGAUCCGUAGCUGGUCGUGAGAGGACGGCCACGCCACACUGGGACGUGAGACACGGCCCACGACU